RNAcentral lists this long non-coding RNA (571 nucleotides) under Cyanistes caeruleus (blue tit). Its description in RNAcentral is "lncRNA (ENSCCEG00000010677.1)". The record is from RNAcentral. Lineage: Eukaryota; Metazoa; Chordata; Aves; Passeriformes; Paridae.
UCUCAAGAUGUUAAUUACGAGAUCUUCAUGUCUGAUUUGAUCUUUUGUCUCCUGCUUCUUUUACCUUGUUUUACCUUAGCUGCUUUGCAUGGAAUGAAUCUUUGAUGUUUACUACUGUUGGUCUCUCUUCUCUGACCACAGAGGACUUAAAGCAAGGCUCCAAAGAUAUCCAUGGCACUUCACCAAAUAUGUGUGUUUCACGAUGAAGAAACUGUGGCUUUAUAAGCCCUGGAAUACAUAACCCUUAACACAGACUACUUCAUCUGGAUAUGUGCUGACUUGGAGCAGCUGAGAACCUCUCCCUUGUGUCCGGAUUUACUGCCCAUCUGGAAGACACUGAAGCUAGAGUUUAUACAGAACUGGGUCAUAACUUAAGCCACAUUAAAGAAGAGAUCAGAACAGUCAUAUAUAGAAUUCCUUUCAAGCUGCAUUUGCUAUUAAACUGAAAAUAGCUCCAAUUUCCAAAACAAAGGUGAACCUCAAAUGAAGCCAGCUCUGAGGUUGGUGAACGGGCUGUGAGUUACAUCAGCGCUUAGUCACUGGCAGCAAGUCCCCAUGGCAAGGGCAAAGC